CUAGAUGUUCGGGGCCGCACGCGCGCUACACUGAAGGAAUCGACGUGUGCUCUCCCGGUCCGGCAGGACUGGGUAACCCGUUGAAACUCCUUCGUGAUAGGGAUAGGGGCUUGUAACUGUUCCCCUUGAACGAGGAAUUCCUAGUAAGCACGAAUCAUAAAUUCGUGUUGACUUUGUCCCUGCCCUUUGUCCACACCGCCCGUCGCUACAAGCGAUUGAAUGACUUAGUGAGGUCUUCGGACUGGCCCGGGGCCCGUCACCCGGUCGAUCCUCGGCGCCGGAAAGAUGACCGAACUUGGCCAUUUAGAGCAUGUAAAAGUCGUAACAAGGUUACC
This 335-nucleotide ribosomal RNA is filed under the name Hoplopholcus cecconii. RNAcentral describes it as "bacterial SSU rRNA". It matches the Rfam family "Eukaryotic small subunit ribosomal RNA", at positions 1473 to 1804 of the family's 1831-position model. Lineage: Eukaryota; Metazoa; Arthropoda; Arachnida; Araneae; Pholcidae. The record is from RNAcentral. RNAcentral also lists the same sequence under 1 other name.